Molecule: non-coding RNA, 89 nt
Organism: Mycena epipterygia
Lineage: Eukaryota; Fungi; Basidiomycota; Agaricomycetes; Agaricales; Mycenaceae
Source: the annotation of a GenBank genome assembly
UCGGACGUGGUGUACGGCACACAACAGGCUCUUUUACCAUGAAAACAUAAGGCCACUCGCAGUACGGGGUUCGAUUCCCCGCGUCCGAA